AACUAACUAGGAUUCCCUCAGUAGCUGCGAGCGAACAGGGAUAAGCCCAGCACCGAAUCCCGCGGCCGAUACCGGACGCCGGGAAAUGUGGUGUUCGGGAGGGUCCAUUAUCCCGAGAUUAUGCGACGCGUCCAAGUCCUUCUUGAACGGGGCCACAGCCCAUAGAGGGUGCCAGGCCCGUAGCGACCGUCGCUGAUCGCGGGAGGAUCUCUCCUCAGAGUCGGGUUGCUUGAGAGUGCAGCCCUAAGUGGGUGGUAAACUCCAUCUAAGGCUAAAUAUGACCACGAGACCGAUAGCGAACAAGUACCGUGAGGGAAAGUUGAAAAGCACUUUGAAGAGAGAGUUCAAGAGUACGUGAAACCGUUUAGGGGUAAACCUGAGAAACCCGAAAGGUCGAAGGGAGAAAUUCAUUCGCGUUUCGACGCAGGCGUCGAGCUGUCGCGUGACGAGAGGCGUUCGCGUUUCUCGCACCUUCAGUUCGUGCGAACCGGCGGCGAACGCGUGCACUUUUCUCCUGGUAGGACGUCGCGAUCCGUUGGGUGUCGGUCUACGGCACGUGGUGGAGCCCGUUCGUCGUUGCAAAACGUACGGACGGACCCACGUGUUCUGGCCGACUCGCUCGACGGUAUACGAAAGGUUUAAGGCCGCUCAUUUCGAGCGUUCGGCUCGUGGCAAGCCCGCCAGAUGCGUCGGCGAUCGGACCUAGUGCCGAUUCUGACCUCUGGCGACUGUUGGCCACGAUGUCCUCGAACAGACU
This 757-nucleotide ribosomal RNA is filed under the name Archarius esakii. Its description in RNAcentral is "eukaryotic LSU rRNA". It matches the Rfam family "Eukaryotic large subunit ribosomal RNA", at positions 63 to 613 of the family's 3401-position model. The record is from RNAcentral. Lineage: Eukaryota; Metazoa; Arthropoda; Insecta; Coleoptera; Curculionidae.